Ciona intestinalis (vase tunicate) is the source of this 475-nucleotide non-coding RNA. The record is from RefSeq and is a predicted model, not a curated record. Lineage: Eukaryota; Metazoa; Chordata; Ascidiacea; Phlebobranchia; Cionidae.
AAACGUUUUUCGUGAGAGGCCCGCUUCCUCUCCCUCCCUAUUAUCUAUAGUUCGGGUGUUGUAUCGAGAGAUGAGACACAUUUUUGAAAAUAUCUUUUUCUUUAAACAAAAUGAUUGAGAAAAACAAACAUCCUGAAAAGAGCAGCAAAUUUCUUAUAUAAAGCACAAAUUCUGCUUAACGAAUCACCAGUCUUCUACAGGCCACAAAGAAAACAUGAACAAGUCAGCUCUUCUCCUUUUGCUCGUCGUCGGACUUCUCGUUCUCACUGACACCGCCGUCGCCGCUGGUCGUCGCAGAUUGAUAUGGGACCAAAAGCCAGCAAGUGCUGAAGACAACAAUGAAUUGAGUGACAGACUCAGUCGUAGAUGGUGGGAAGUUAUGCAACAAAUCAACGAAGAAGAACAAUAAUUGUUCUCCUCACAAUGUAUUAAUAAUGUACAGUUGAUAUAAAUAAAUUCUAAAUCAUUUACUUUG